Non-coding RNA from Beta vulgaris subsp. vulgaris (sugar beet), 107 nucleotides. NCBI's taxonomy places the organism in Eukaryota, Viridiplantae, Streptophyta, Magnoliopsida, Caryophyllales, Amaranthaceae. The record is from Rfam.
AUAUUGUGGUGUGGGCAUUCUCUCUGCAAGUCCUUCAACCUAUCCCAUGCUUCCUUCAAUGUCUCAUCAGGUUCUUGUUGGAAGGUAGCAAGCUUGUCUCUAAUUUC